AACCACUAGGGGUGCCUUUUAUAAGGCUGAGAUCAAAGUGUGACUUUGAGACUCUUAGAACCUGAUCUGGAUUAUACCAGCGUAGGGAAGUGGUGUU
Molecule: non-coding RNA, 97 nt
Filed under: uncultured Fictibacillus sp.
Lineage: Bacteria; Bacillati; Bacillota; Bacilli; Caryophanales; Fictibacillaceae
Description: TPP riboswitch (THI element)
Rfam family: TPP riboswitch aptamer (THI element)
About the family: Vitamin B(1) in its active form thiamin pyrophosphate (TPP) is an essential coenzyme that is synthesised by coupling of pyrimidine and thiazole moieties in bacteria. The previously detected thiamin-regulatory element, thi box was extended, resulting in a new, highly conserved RNA secondary structure, the THI element, which is widely distributed in eubacteria and also occurs in some archaea. Analysis of operon structures identified a large number of new candidate thiamin-regulated genes, mostly transporters, in various prokaryotic organisms.
Source: RNAcentral